CCAUUUGUCCUCAGCAGAUGGCGCUGUUGGUUAAAAAAAAAUCCUCCCACUUCGCUGUUCCCUCACGUCGCCUGACUACACUUGGAAAAGAAAACUGAGCUUAGAAUAGAAACAUAUUAACAGGUGCCUGCAGACUACCUAGCUUCAGGCAGACAUCUUCUCCGAGGCUGUCGGUUUGCAGGUUACACGAUGGAUUACGACCAAAGAUACAAAAGGAACCAGGUUAACCCCGAGGGAAACCAAAACACCAGACACCCGAGACAGAGCGCAUCAGAUGUGUGUGGACAGGAUCAAACACUUCCAAAUCCAAAUGUUCACGGAAAUCCACAAGUAGCAACUGGACAGCCACGGUACUCAGAUGGAUACACCAUUGUCCCACCAAAUGAAUCUAAGCGAAACAAGAUGAAAACAAUUGCUCAAAAAAGAAGAAGAGGCUCUUAACAGAUGGAAAGAAACACAGAGAGUCCCUCUGUACGUGUGAAUCCAGAGAGGCUUGGUGGUGAUGUCACACUGGUUGAAGUCAGGCAAAAACAGCAAAUAAAUCAUCAAUCCAUGAAACUGCAGAAGAAA
Molecule: long non-coding RNA, 570 nt
Organism: Oreochromis aureus
Lineage: Eukaryota; Metazoa; Chordata; Actinopteri; Cichliformes; Cichlidae
Exons: 4
Source: RefSeq, a predicted model, not a curated record